GAUGAACGCUGGCGGCGUGCCUAACACAUGCAAGUCGAGCGAUUCUCUCCGGAGAAGAGCGGCGGACGGGUGAGUAACGCGUGGGUAACCUGCCCCGUACACACGGAUAACAUACCGAAAGGUAUGCUAAUACGAGAUAAUAUGCUUUUAUCGCAUGGCAGAAGUAUCAAAGCUUUUGCGGUACAGGAUGGACCCGCGUCUGAUUAGCUAGUUGGUAAGGUAACGGCUUACCAAGGCGACGAUCAGUAGCCGACCUGAGAGGGUGAUCGGCCACAUUGGAACUGAGACACGGUCCAAACUCCUACGGGAGGCAGCAGUGGGGAAUAUUGCACAAUGGGCGAAAGCCUGAUGCAGCAACGCCGCGUGAGCGAUGAAGGCCUUCGGGUCGUAGAGCUCUGUCCUCAAGGAAGAUAAUGACGGUACUUGAGGAGGAAGCCCCGGCUAACUACGUGCCAGCCGCCGCGGUAA
This 468-nucleotide ribosomal RNA is filed under the name uncultured bacterium. Its description in RNAcentral is "partial 16S ribosomal RNA". It matches the Rfam family "Bacterial small subunit ribosomal RNA", at positions 28 to 523 of the family's 1533-position model. The record is from RNAcentral.